RNAcentral lists this ribosomal RNA (774 nucleotides) under uncultured Neocallimastigales. RNAcentral describes it as "partial large subunit ribosomal RNA". It matches the Rfam family "Eukaryotic large subunit ribosomal RNA", at positions 24 to 616 of the family's 3401-position model. The record is from RNAcentral. Lineage: Eukaryota; Fungi; Neocallimastigomycota; Neocallimastigomycetes; Neocallimastigales.
UACGACUACAUAUCAGGCAUAUCAAUAAGCGGAGGAAAAGAAACUAACAAGGAUUCCCUUAGUAACGGCGAGUGAAGCGGGAAGAGCUCAAAUUUGAAAUCUUCAAGGUUCUACCUUGACGAAUUGUAGUUUAAAGAAGUGUUUUCUGUUGAAGUUUUGGUAAAAGUUCUUUGGAAUAGGACAUCAUAGAGGGUGAGAAUCCCGUAUUUGACCAUUAUUUCCAGCUGUGUGAUACACUUUCAAAGAGUCGGAUUGUUUGGGAAUGCAGUCCAAAAUGGGUGGUAAAUUUCAUCUAAAGCUAAAUAUUGGCGAGAGACCGAUAGCGAACAAGUACCGUGAGGGAAAGAUGAAAAGAACUUUGAAAAGAGAGUUAAACAGUACGUGAAAUUGUCAAAAGGGAAGCGUUUGACACCAGUGUUGUUUUCUCGAAAAUCAAUUAAAAAUAGUUGGAUUUUGUGUUGUAUUGACCUUAACAGCUUGCUUCACUCUUUUCCAGCUUUUUUUAAUGCACUUUUCGUUUAACAAGUCAACAUCAGUUUCUUUUGUUGUAAAAGGGUCAUUGGAAGGUGGCUUUCUCUUCGGAGAAAGUGUUUAUAGCCUUUGAUCUCUGCAAUCGGAGAGACUGAGGUCUGCAGCGUAGAUCCUUCGGGGUUAGAUACAUUUGUGCUAAGCUACAGCUUUUCAUAGACAACUUGUUGACUAUGUUUAGUCUUGUAACUUACCCGCUUAUGCUAUUUUACCUACGCUUAGGAUGUUGAGCGCAUGUCUCUCUCU